Octopus sinensis (East Asian common octopus) is the source of this 507-nucleotide long non-coding RNA. RefSeq lists it as uncharacterized. The transcript is spliced from 3 exons. The record is from RefSeq and is a predicted model, not a curated record. NCBI's taxonomy places the organism in Eukaryota, Metazoa, Mollusca, Cephalopoda, Octopoda, Octopodidae.
CAAAUUCAUCUUUUUCAGAACACUGAACUAGUCCAUCCAAGACCAGAACAUUUCCAAACCUCUUGCUAAAAAAGAAAAUGACUUUAUGCAGUCAAUAUUCAGUUAUUAUAUGACUACCAUGUGUGCCACAACCUUAUUUUCUGUAAUCUGAAAACAGCCACACUAAUUUGAAGAUAAAACAGAAACAAGAUAUAGAAUUUAGGGGACCUGUUUGGUGAGGCUGUCAAUCAAUGAUACACGAAUAAAUGAGCCAUUUUCAAAAGGGUUGCCCUGCUAGAAACCUGUCAGAAGUAAAAAGCAGUGACUGACUUCCUGAAGGAGAAAUUCUUGUAAGAAUUUACAAGACUGAAAAAUGUUUACAAAGAUAAAGCUUUAAACUAGAGCAGUAUGUGAAGGUGGACAUACUGCCUAAAUCACAAUUCAACUCACCAAAAAGAUUUCCAUUUUCAGAAGGAAGCACCAUUUGGUUUUUACAAUAAUAAUAAUAAUAAUAAUAAUAUAUUUCUU